CGUGGAUUGAUUUGUCUGGUUAAUUCCGAUAACGAACGAGAUUGGAGCUUUAUUAAAUAGAAAGAUCAUUCUUUAUAUGUUUCUUUUUCCUUUACGGGAAAUUGGAAUACGUGAUUCUUUUCUUCUUAAUGGGAUUUGCGGCGUUCCAGUCGUAAGAAACCCAGCUAUAACAGGUCUGUGAUGCCCUAAGAUGUCUGGGGCUGCACGCGCGCUACAAUGAAAAUUGCAGCGCGUGUAACCAUAUCUGACAAGAUUUGGCAAACGAGUUAAAUUAUUUCGUAUUUGGGAUCGAAUAUUGUAAUUAUUAUUCGUGAACGAGGAACUUCAAGUAAGUGUAAGUCAUCAGCUUACGCUGAAUACGUCCCUGCCCUUUGUAC
Molecule: ribosomal RNA, 377 nt
Filed under: Nematoda environmental sample
Lineage: Eukaryota; Metazoa; Nematoda
Description: bacterial SSU rRNA
Rfam family: Eukaryotic small subunit ribosomal RNA
Source: RNAcentral